This 1472-nucleotide ribosomal RNA is filed under the name metagenome. RNAcentral's name for it is "bacterial LSU rRNA". It matches the Rfam family "Bacterial large subunit ribosomal RNA", at positions 1454 to 2925 of the family's 2925-position model. The record is from RNAcentral.
UGCUGGACCGAUGGAGGGACGGCGUCUGGAAGGUGAGGGGACGGAUAGAAAUGUCCCUCGCCGGUGUGGAAGGUAGCUGUAGGUAAAUCCGCAGCGACAUCCGGAAGCAUCGGACAAAGACGCUUAUGUUUCGAUAGUCAUCCGAAGGACGUCCAAGAAAAGCUUCUAGGGUUGAAGGCAUGUGACCGUACUAAAACUGACACAGGUAGGCGGGACGAGAAGUCCUAGGCGCUCGGGAGAACACUGGUUAAGGAACUCUGCAAAAUGGCCCCGUAAGUCCGCGAUAAGGGGUGCCCCCUGAUGUUUAUAGCAAUGGGGGGUCACAGUAAAUCGGCAUCAGCAACUGUUUAUCAAAAACACAGGACUCUGCUAACUCGCAAGAGGAUGUAUAGAGUCUGACGCCUGCCCGGUGUUGGUAGGUUAAGGAAGAGGGUUAGCCGCAAGGUAAGCCCGCGACCGAAGCCCCAAUAAACGGCGGCCGUAACUAUGACGGUCCUAAGGUAGCGAAGUUCCUUGUCGGGUAAGUUCCGACCUGCAUGAAAGGCGUAAUGACUGAUGCACUGUCUCAACCAGUGACCCGGUGAAAUUGUAGCCGUGGUGAAGAUGCCACGUACCCGCAGUGUGACGGAAAGACCCCGUGAACCUUCACUGUAGGCUGAUAUUGGUCUCGGACGUGUUCUGUGUAGGAUAGGUGGGAGGCUUCGAAGUGGUGGCGCUAGCCAUCAUGGAGCCAACGUUGAAAUACCACCCUGGAUUCGUUUGAGUUCUAACUCUGAUUCCCGUGAAUCCGGGCAGAGGACGGUGUCAGUUGGGCAGUUUGACUGGGGCGGUCUCCUCCAAAAGAGUAACGGAGGAGUUCGAAGGUACCCUCAGCCUGGUUGGCAAUCAGGCAUCGAGCCUAAAGGUAGAAGGGUACUUGACUGCGAGACUCAUAAGUCGAGCAGAUACGAAAGUAGGACUUAGUGAUCCGGCGGUGCUGGAUGGAAAGGCCGUCGCUCAUCAGAUAAAAGGUACUCCGGGGAUAACAGGCUUAUCGCUUCCGAGCGUCCAUAGCGGCGAAGCGGUUUGGCACCUCGAUGUCGGCUCAUCACAUCCUGGGGGUGGAGAAGCUCCCAAGGGUUUGGCUGUUCGCCAAUGAAAGUGGUACGUGAGCUGGGUUCAGACCGUCGUGAGACAGGUCGGUCCCUAUCUGCCGUGGGCGCACGAAACUUGAGGGGAUUCUUCUUUAGUACGAGAGGAUUUGGAAGGACGUUCCUCUGGUGUCCCAGUUGUCGCGCUAGCGGCACGGCUGGAUAGCUAUGAACGGAACGGAUAAACGCUGAAAGCAUGUAAGCGUAAAGCCCGCCCCAAGAUCAGGUUUCGUAGGGCUGAUGCCCGAAAGUCCCCUGGAAGACGACCAGGUUGAUAGGCCGGACGUGUACGUGCAGCAAUGCACUCAGCUUACCGGUACUAACGGACGAACGCUUGACCAC